AUUGAACGCUGGCGGCAUGCCUUACACAUGCAAGUCGAACGGCAGCACGGGUGUUUGCACCUGGUGGUGAGUGGCGCACGGGUGAGUAAUACAUCUGAACAUGUCCUGUAGUGGGGGAUAGUCCGGUGAAAGCCGGAUUAAUACCGCAUACGAACUACGGGAGACUGCGGGGGCCCACUGGACCUCGCGACAUGGUGUUGGUUGAUGGCUGAUUAGCUAGUUGGUGGGGUAAAGGCCUACCAAGGCGACGAUCAGUAGCUGGUCUGAGAGGACGACCAGCCACACUGGGACUGAGACACGGCCCAGACUCCUACGGGAGGCAGCAGUGGGGAAUUUUGGACAAUGGGCGAAAGCCUGAUCCAGCAAUGCCGCGUGUGUGAAGAAGGCCUUCGGGUUGUAAAGCACUUUUGUCCGGAAAGAAAUCCUUGGCCCUAAUACGGUCGGGGGAUGACGGUACCGGAAGAAUAGGCACCGGCUAACUACGUG
This 486-nucleotide ribosomal RNA is filed under the name uncultured bacterium. RNAcentral describes it as "partial 16S ribosomal RNA". It matches the Rfam family "Bacterial small subunit ribosomal RNA", at positions 30 to 507 of the family's 1533-position model. The record is from RNAcentral.